AGAGUUUGAUUCUGGCUCAGGAUGAACGCCGGCGGUGUGCCUAAUACAUGCAAGUCGUACGCACUGGCCCAACUGAUUGAUGGUGCUUGCACCUGAUUGACGUUGGAUCACCAGUGAGUGGCGGACGGGUGAGUAACACGUAGGUAACCUGCCCCGGAGCGGGGGAUAACAUUUGGAAACAGAUGCUAAUACCGCAUAACAACAAAAGCCACAUGGCUUUUGUUUGAAAGAUGGCUUUGGCUAUCACUCUGGGAUGGACCCGCGGUGCAUUAGCUAGUUGGUAAGGUAACGGCUUACCAAGGCAGUGAUGCAUAGCCGAGUUGAGAGACUGAUCGGCCACAAUGGAACUGAGACACGGUCCAUACUCCUACGGGAGGCAGCAGUAGGGAAUCUUCCACAAUGGGCGCAAGCCUGAUGGAGCAACACCGCGUGAGUGAAGAAGGGUUUCGGCUCGUAAAGCUCUGUUGUUGGAGAAGAACGUGCGUGAGAGUAACUGUUCACGCAGUGACGGUAUCCAACCAGAAAGUCACGGCUAACUACGUGCCAGCAGCCGCGGUAAUACGUAGGUGGCAAGCGUUAUCCGGAUUUAUUGGGCGUAAAGCGAGCGCAGGCGGUUGCUUAGGUCUGAUGUGAAAGCCUUCGGCUUAACCGAAGAAGUGCAUCGGAAACCGGGCGACUUGAGUGCAGAAGAGGACAGUGGAACUCCAUGUGUAGAGGUGGAAUGCGUAGAUAUAUGGAAGAACACCAGUGGCGAAGGCGGCUGUCUGGUCUGCAACUGACGCUGAGGCUCGAAAGCAUGGGUAGCGAACAGGAUUAGAUACCCUGGUAGUCCAUGCCGUAAACGAUGAGUGCUAGGUGUUGGAGGGUUUCCGCCCUUCAGUGCCGGAGCUAACGCAUUAAGCACUCCGCCUGGGGAGUACGACCGCAAGGUUGAAACUCAAAGGAAUUGACGGGGGACCGCACAAGCGGUGGAGCAUGUGGUUUAAUUCGAAGCUACGCGAAGAACCUUACCAGGUCUUGACAUCUUGCGCUAAACUUAGAGAUAAGGCGUUCCCUUCGGGGACGCAAUGACAGGUGGUGCAUGGUCGUCGUCAGCUCGUGUCGUGAGAUGUUGGGUUAAGUCCCGCAACGAGCGCAACCCUUGUUACUAGUUGCCAGCAUUAAGUUGGGCACUCUAGUGAGACUGCCGGUGACAAACCGGAGGAAGGUGGGGACGACGUCAGAUCAUCAUGCCCCUUAUGACCUGGGCUACACACGUGCUACAAUGGACGGUACAACGAGUCGCAAGCUCGCGAGAGUAAGCUAAUCUCUUAAAGCCGUUCUCAGUUCGGACUGUAGGCUGCAACUCGCCUACACGAAGUCGGAAUCGCUAGUAAUCGCGGAUCAGAAUGCCGCGGUGAAUACGUUCCCGGGUCUUGUACACACCGCCCGUCA
RNAcentral lists this ribosomal RNA (1434 nucleotides) under uncultured bacterium. RNAcentral's name for it is "bacterial SSU rRNA". It matches the Rfam family "Bacterial small subunit ribosomal RNA". The record is from RNAcentral.